CCCCGGUAAACGGCGGCCGUAACUAUAACGGUCCUAAGGUAGCGAAAUUCCUUGUCGGGUAAGUUCCGACCUGCACGAAUGGCGUAAUGAUGGCCAGGCUGUCUCCACCCGAGACUCAGUGAAAUUGAACUCGCUGUGAAGAUGCAGUGUACCCGCGGCAAGACGGAAAGACCCCGUGAACCUUUACUAUAGCUUGACACUGAACAUUGAGCCUUGAUGUGUAGGAUAGGUGGGAGGCUUUGAAGUGUGGACGCCAGUCUGCAUGGAGCCGACCUUGAAAUACCACCCUUUAAUGUUUGAUGUUCUAACGUGGACCCGUAAUCCGGGUUGCGGACAGUGUCUGGUGGGUAGUUUGACUGGGGCGGUCUCCUCCUAAAGAGUAACGGAGGAGCACGAAGGUUGGCUAAUCCUGGUCGGACAUCAGGAGGUUAGUGCAAUGGCAUAAGCCAGCUUGACUGCGAGCGUGACGGCGCGAGCAGGUGCGAAAGCAGGUCAUAGUGAUCCGGUGGUUCUGAAUGGAAGGGCCAUCGCUCAAC
This 536-nucleotide ribosomal RNA is filed under the name Salmonella enterica. RNAcentral's name for it is "partial 23S ribosomal RNA". It matches the Rfam family "Bacterial large subunit ribosomal RNA", at positions 1918 to 2453 of the family's 2925-position model. Lineage: Bacteria; Pseudomonadati; Pseudomonadota; Gammaproteobacteria; Enterobacterales; Enterobacteriaceae. The record is from RNAcentral.